RNAcentral lists this long non-coding RNA (794 nucleotides) under Rattus norvegicus (Norway rat). RNAcentral's name for it is "long non-coding RNA NONRATT012766". Lineage: Eukaryota; Metazoa; Chordata; Mammalia; Rodentia; Muridae. The record is from RNAcentral.
GCAUUUUGAUGAUGGGUCGUCCUACAGUAGGCAAAGAGAUAACCCACAACUUGGACGUUGAUGCCACAUCUGAGUCGUUGUACUAGCGCCAUCCUCUGCUCGCUGUAUGCAUCUAGUCAUUUCCUUUCAGCAGAACCAGGAGUGGGAUUGUAAAUUCUCUGGCCAGUCUGAUCUUCAUCCUUCGAAAUGUUGACACUAAGCUCUCUGUACUGAUCUGCUUUCCCACCAAUGGCGCCCAAGUUCUACCCGCCUCUCACCAGUCAACAUUUACUACUUAAAAAAAAUAAUAGCAGUUUUGAAUGGGAUGAGAUUAUCAAGUAAAGGAAAUCAGAGGCAUACAAAUAGGAAGAGAAGGAAUUCAAUCACCUGUUAUGAAAUGACAUGAUGUAUAGACUUAAAAAAUCAGAACUCUACAAACUCCACCAAAAGACCCAGGUAAAGGAAUUCAGUGAAACUGGAGGAUAUAAAAAUCCUUCAUAAUCCAACAUAAAAGCCAGCCGUAUUUUAUACACUGAUAAUGAACUUCCUCGGAAGAUAUGAGAGGCAUUCUAUCUAUUCACAACUGCAGCAAAAGUAAGGUUAAAGAAGACAAGAUAAAUGCCCCGGGAUGAGCCAGGAGUGGCAGUGCAAAUCCCUAGUGCCUGCUACCUGGGAUGCCGAGAGGACAAGAUGGUGCAACCAUUCAGGGCCAGCAACACACGAAGCCCCAGAGGCUAGAAACAAAUUCAACCGAAGAAAUAACAUCAAGUCCUGAAGUGAAAAUUACAAACCACCGAUAACAGAAACCAAAGACG